GACGAACGCUGGCGGCGUGCUUAACACAUGCAAGUCGAACGGAAAGGCCCUGCUUUUGUGGGGUGCUCGAGUGGCGAACGGGUGAGUAACACGUGAGUAACCUGCCCUUGACUUUGGGAUAACGUCAGGAAACUGGGGCUAAUACCGGAUAGGAGCUCCUGCUGCAUGGUGGGGGUUGGAAAGUUUCGGCGGUUGGGGAUGGACUCGCGGCUUAUCAGCUUGUUGGUGGGGUAGUGGCUUACCAAGGCUUUGACGGGUAGCCGGCCUGAGAGGGUGACCGGCCACAUUGGGACUGAGAUACGGCCCAGACUCCUACGGGAGGCAGCAGUGGGGAAUAUUGCACAAUGGGCGGAAGCCUGAUGCAGCAACGCCGCGUGCGGGAUGACGGCCUUCGGGUUGUAAACCGCUUUCGCCUGUGACGAAGCGUGAGUGACGGUAAUGGGUAAAGAAGCACCGGCUAACUACGUG
RNAcentral lists this ribosomal RNA (468 nucleotides) under uncultured bacterium. RNAcentral's name for it is "partial 16S ribosomal RNA". It matches the Rfam family "Bacterial small subunit ribosomal RNA", at positions 28 to 507 of the family's 1533-position model. The record is from RNAcentral.